AUGUAUGAAAACAACUGUGCCAUGAUGUGCUGGAAUGUGCGGGGUCUGAACUCGCCGGCGAAGAGGGAGGUGAUCAGAGAGGUAGCAGACGAGCAUAGGCUAGCCAUUCUCUGCUUGCAAGAAACCAAGCUUGAAACCCGGACGCCCCAGUUGGCCCGCGACGUAGGUGGUAGGAGGUUAGAUGGCUGCAGGGUGCUGCCAGCGAUGGGUACCAGAGGGGGCCUCGCCAUCUUUUGGGACAAGAAGGUGUUGCUGGUCGACUCCCACGCGCUAGGGCAGUUCUCCAUCACCGUUUCUGUUCGUGACAUCGCCUCCUCGACCACGUUC
RNAcentral lists this ribosomal RNA (327 nucleotides) under Triticum aestivum (bread wheat). RNAcentral's name for it is "partial small subunit ribosomal RNA". The record is from RNAcentral. Lineage: Eukaryota; Viridiplantae; Streptophyta; Magnoliopsida; Poales; Poaceae.